Molecule: ribosomal RNA, 253 nt
Filed under: uncultured bacterium
Lineage: Bacteria
Description: partial 16S ribosomal RNA
Rfam family: Bacterial small subunit ribosomal RNA
Source: RNAcentral
UACGUAGGGGGCGAGCGUUGUCCGGAAUUACUGGGCGUAAAGCGUGCGCAGGCGGUUUGUUAAGUCUGCUGUGAAAGCCCCGGGCUCAACCUGGGAAUGGCCGUGGAAACUGGCGGGCUGGAGUCUGGCAGAGGGGGGUGGAAUUCCGCGUGUAGCAGUGAAAUGCGUAGAGAUGCGGAGGAACACCGAUGGCGAAGGCAGCCCCCUGGGCCAAUACUGACGCUGAGGCACGAAAGCGUGGGGAGCAAACAGG